Molecule: long non-coding RNA, 1743 nt
Organism: Gopherus flavomarginatus (Mexican gopher tortoise)
Lineage: Eukaryota; Metazoa; Chordata; Testudines; Testudinidae
Exons: 2
Source: RefSeq, a predicted model, not a curated record
ACAGACUAUCUAAAUUGGUUUAACCAAAGGUAUUGUUUUAAACCAGUGUAACCUUCUCAUGUAGUGUUCCUUGAAACUGCUGAAGUUAGCAAGCAGGAACCCAACAGGCUAGAAAUCUAUUGGCCUUUGUUGCCUUGUUGAUCUCCUUUUCCAUGUGUGAAAAUUGGUGUUUACUGUAUAUAGUUUUUAUUCAUGGUUAGAAGUGAUGUGUUAGUGGAAGAACUUUGGCCAAUUUUGAUCCGGAGGCCUGGCCUACACUACAAAGUUAGGUCGACAUAAGCAGCCUUGCGUCGACUUAAUUGUGCACGUGUGUACACUUAAAUUUGUCUCCUACUGACAUAAGCACCCUGUUACGCCGACAUAGUAACACUGCCUUCCUGAGCGGUAUAGUGCCAACGUUAAUGUAGCACAAGUGUAGAUGCUGCGUGACUGAUAUCGACCCUAACAGUUCUCUAGCAGGUAUCCCACAAUUUCUGAUGUUACUCCACUGCCCAAGUGUCACACACAGCAGAAGGCCCCAUGAAUUUGUGUUUUCCUGAUUGGCUUGGUGAGCACACCUAGCAGCUCUCCAUUGUUGUGUGCAGCUGACCAUGUUGGCUGCAUGCUCUAGAUAUGCUCUGGCUUGGCAUAGACAGGAGAUAUUGGCUCUCCUUAGCCUAUGGGGAGAAGAGGCUGUGCAGGCACAGCUACGGACUAGCUGUAGAAAUGUUGACAUCUAUGAAGGGAUUGUUCAGGGGAUGCUGGAAAAGAUGGGGACCAGCAGCAGUGCCAUGUGAAAGCGAAGGAGCUGUGGCAGGUGUAUCAGAAGGCCAGGAAGGCCAACAGUCAAUACAUUAUCAAGCCACAGACCUGCUACUUAUAUAAAGAGCUACAUGUGAAACUUGACAAAGGCACCACCACCCCACACACCGAUACUUCCAAGGACCCUGACCCACAGGACCCUGGCCUGAACAGCGAGGAGAAGGAAGAAGAGGAGGAUGGAGGAACUGGCAACUAGGGAGUCCAGCUGUGCCAUGAACCAGAACCUGUUUGAGACUCCACUGCAAUCCAGUCAGUCCUGGCAGCCAAGCACAGACAAGCCCAAUGCAGAGGAAGGAACCUCAGCUGCUGCCACUGCAGCUUUGAAAUUUCCCCCACCACACCCGGGGAACACCUGCGCCAGAUAAGGGAAAGAAGAGGACUUAGGAUGACAUGUUCAGUGAGAUCUUGCACGCCAGUGGUGCAUCAGACCAUGAGCACAUGGCCUGGAAGGUCAACAUUGCAGGCAGCCUGGAGAAGGAAAGAGGGGAAAGGACAGAGGUCUGGGAGUCCCAGCAGGAAAAGGAGAGUGAAAUACAUCAUGACAUAAUGGGGCUUCUCAGACAGCAAUCUCAGAUACUGCAACUCUGAUGGACUUAUAUGUUCAACAAUCCCGGGCUCACUUUCCUCUGCAACCCACUGAGAACUCCAUUAUGGGACCUCCUUGCCUUGCCCCCAACAUUCCACAUGGCAUCAGGGGCUGCUGCAUUGCCCGUACCACUCUACCCUGGGGUACAUUAAAGACAAUCACAGCUUCACAUACACUGACCUGUGAAAACCUCAGUUGGUCUGUGUAGCUGAAAUUGACGUGAAUGUUCUUUUUCCUUCAUAAAUUCUGUUCUUGUUAAUGUAUUACAUUUUAUUAAUUUUUAAUGCAUUUAUUUUAAAAUUGCACUUUUUGUACUGAUUUGGUAACAGAAUAAAAUUCUAUUAUUUAGAACAUAA